Long non-coding RNA from Sebastes umbrosus (honeycomb rockfish), 481 nucleotides. RefSeq lists it as uncharacterized. Lineage: Eukaryota; Metazoa; Chordata; Actinopteri; Perciformes; Sebastidae. The record is from RefSeq and is a predicted model, not a curated record. The transcript is spliced from 3 exons.
AACUGCAAGGUGCAGUUGCACAGGCAGCCAGCUUGAUCAUUCUGGCGGGUCACAAUGUUCACAUAACACUGGGAAACAAACAAGAUACUGCUUUGGACUUGGCUCACUGGUAUGUCCUCCAGCGGACCCGAGCAGCUUUUGAAAGGUUCAGAGAUGGCUUAACGUCUCUAGGUGUCCUAGAUGCUCUUCAGAGAUACCCUCUACAGUUGAAGUGCCUUUUCGUGAAGGCUGAAAAGGGUUUGACAGCGGCUGAUAUGGAGAAUCUCUUCCAGAUCAUUCACUCCGAAAGAGGGAGUAAUGCAUUCCAAGAAGAGUGCCGGAACCAGGCUUUCUGGCAGGACUAUCUUCAGGAUGCUGAAUUCGAAAACGAUGUCUCUCUGGAGGAUAUUCUUGUUUUCUUCACUGGAUGUGACAGCAUUCCAGCACUGGGUUUCUCUCCAAAGCCAAGCCUUGAGUUCAUCACCCACUCCCGAUUUCCAGU